Molecule: long non-coding RNA, 605 nt
Organism: Daphnia pulex (common water flea)
Lineage: Eukaryota; Metazoa; Arthropoda; Branchiopoda; Diplostraca; Daphniidae
Exons: 3
Source: RefSeq, a predicted model, not a curated record
UAAGUAAAUGGGAGACCAGCAUUCAGUAGAAAAGUCUAAUAAUCCAUUGUAUUUAGGCAACAUCCAUGGUAUUUAACAACGACUGCAAUGUAGAUCUCUACGAAUAAGUUUCUAAUAGGGAGGAAUUUCAAACGAUCGUUAAAGUUGAGAUAGAAGAAGAUAACGGCUCGAUACAAUCAAAUCAAAGAAAGACAAAACCAGAGGAGAGACGCCGCAAAUGUUACUUGUCGCACAAGUUGUGGUGAUGGUGUCGCGUUUUGAUGUCAAGGUGUCGUUAAAUUACAUUCUGACUUGUCUACACCGACUUCGAGAUUCUUUGCCAUUUCCAAUCGGAAUGAUCAGUUUAGUUGAGUUUUUACGGUGAAAAUUUAGCCACGGUUUGAUUUUGAAAAGUGAUGAGGUAUUUCCACACCAUUCGACCAAGCUUAAUCGAAAGUGAACAAUUCUAAGGCAUCAUGCCGAAAAUCUUUUGCCUUUCUCCACGUGAUCGCUGCCGUGUCAUGACGAUGCUUCUUUGAGAGGGUCUCUAUACUAUAUUGCAAGACAAAAACGUGUUGAGAACAGGAAAUCUGAGUUGAUUAUAAUGUACUGUAUUUUUAAGAUAA